GGGAGACAGAACUGGAGCAGGUGCAGUGACAGGGAAGAGACAUCUGGUGCCUCUGAUCGGGCUUCAUUUGUGUCCAACAUCAGAAGGGUGCUCUCUUUGUAAAGCCUGCCAGGACAAGUUGACCCCAGCGAGAGGAACAGAAGACAACUGGAGGAAAGGGAUGGCCCGUUGGGGCUGGACACAGACCGACUGGCUUUCCUCUGAGGUGGGAGUGAGGAGACUCCUGUUUCUGGGAGUUUCAUCCCAGGAUCAGCCACUGGGUUCGGCAGCACCUGUCUGGGGGGCAAGCCCGGAACGAGUCUCCAGCCUGACCUUCUCUGAUGAGCAGCCUCCCUCCUUAAAGAGGGAGUUGAGUCACCUGUUCUCAGCAGGAAGUGCUCUGGUAGAGGUUCAGACUCCACGUCUAAGGGAGAGAUUCUCAUAAGACUCGGGAACCAAGAAUGGGAUUCCGGGCAUUCGUGAACCCUUUAGAUGGUGUGUAAAAUUACCUAUGCACAUGUA
This is a long non-coding RNA of Leopardus geoffroyi (Geoffroy's cat), 501 nucleotides long. RefSeq lists it as uncharacterized. The transcript is spliced from 2 exons. The record is from RefSeq and is a predicted model, not a curated record. Lineage: Eukaryota; Metazoa; Chordata; Mammalia; Carnivora; Felidae.